This 90-nucleotide microRNA precursor is filed under the name Macaca nemestrina (pig-tailed macaque). RNAcentral's name for it is "miRNA (ENSMNEG00000007025.1)". Lineage: Eukaryota; Metazoa; Chordata; Mammalia; Primates; Cercopithecidae. The record is from RNAcentral.
UUGGCUUGAGUCCCUGAGCAAAGCCACUGGGGAUGUUCCCCAAGGACUCUUGGGAACAAGAGUGUUCAGCUCAUGGGGCUAUCAUGGUCA